CCUACGGGAGGCAGCAGUGAGGAAUAUUGGUCAAUGGACGCAAGUCUGAACCAGCCAAGUAGCGUGCAGGAUGACGGCCCUCCGGGUUGUAAACUGCUUUUAGUUGGGAAUAAAAGGGGGCCCGUGAGCCCCGUAUUGUAUGUACCAUAAGAAAAAGGACCGGCUAAUUCCGGGCCAGCAGCCGCGGUAAUACGGAAGGUCCGGGCGUUAUCCGGAUUUAUUGGGUUUAAAGGGAGCGUAGGCCGGCUUUUAAAGCAGCUGUGAAAGUCCGCGACUCAACCGUAAAAUUGCAGUUGAAAAUGGCAGUCUUGAGUACAGUAGAGGUGUGCGGAAUUCGUGGUGUAGCGGUGAAAUGCUUAGAUAUCACGAAGAACUCCGAUUGCGAAGGCAGUUCACUGGACUGCAACUGACACUGAGGCUCGAAAGCGUGGGGAUCGAACAGGAUUAGAUACCCGAGUAGUC
This 462-nucleotide ribosomal RNA is filed under the name uncultured bacterium. RNAcentral describes it as "partial 16S ribosomal RNA". It matches the Rfam family "Bacterial small subunit ribosomal RNA", at positions 338 to 795 of the family's 1533-position model. The record is from RNAcentral.